ACGUAGGUGACGAGCGUUGUUCGGAAUUAUUGGGCGUAAAGGGUUCGUAGGAGGUUUAUUAAGAUUGGUGUGAAAUCCCAAGGCUCAACCUUGGAACUGCAUUGAUUACUGAUGAACUAGAGUGUCGUAGAGGAAAGCGGAAUUCCAGGUGAAGCGGUUGGGUGGGUAGUAAUCUGGAAGGAGGCAGAAAGGGAAGGGAAGCUAACAGGAGAUAAUAGCCUAGUAGGAGCGAAAGGAUCGAAAGCAAAGAG
RNAcentral lists this ribosomal RNA (251 nucleotides) under uncultured prokaryote. Its description in RNAcentral is "partial 16S rRNA". It matches the Rfam family "Bacterial small subunit ribosomal RNA", at positions 525 to 775 of the family's 1533-position model. The record is from RNAcentral.